UUCCAGGAAAAGCCUCUAAGCAUCAGGUAACAUCAAAUCGUACCCCAAACCGACACAGGUGGUCAGGUAGAGAAUACCAAGGCGCUUGAGAGAACUCGGGUGAAGGAACUAGGCAAAAUGGUGCCGUAACUUCGGGAGAAGGCACGCUGAUAUGUAGGUGAAGUCCCUCGCGGAUGGAGCUGAAAUCAGUCGAAGAUACCAGCUGGCUGCAACUGUUUAUUAAAAACACAGCACUGUGCAAACACGAAAGUGGACGUAUACGGUGUGACGCCUGCCCGGUGCCGGAAGGUUAAUUGAUGGGGUCAGCGCAAGCGAAGCUCUUGAUCGAAGCCCCGGUAAACGGCGGCCGUAACUAUAACGGUCCUAAGGUAGCGAAAUUCCUUGUCGGGUAAGUUCCGACCUGCACGAAUGGCGUAAUGAUGGCCAGGCUGUCUCCACCCGAGACUCAGUGAAAUUGAACUCGCUGUGAAGAUGCAGUGUACCCGCGGCAAGACGGAAAGACCCCGUGAACCUUUACUAUAGCUUGACACUGAACAUUGAGCCUUGAUGUGUAGGAUAGGUGGGAGGCUUGGAAGUGUGGACGCCAGUCUGCAUGGAGCCGACCUUGAAAUACCACCCUUUAAUGUUUGAUGUUCUAACGUUGACCCGUAAUCCGGGUUGCGGACAGUGUCUGGUGGGUAGUUUGACUGGGGCGGUCUCCUCCUAAAGAGUAACGGAGGAGCACGAAGGUUGGCUAAUCCUGGUCGGACAUCAGGAGGUUAGUGCAAUGGCAUAAGCCAGCUUGACUGCGAGCGUGACGGCGCGAGCAGGUGCGAAAGCAGGUCAUAGUGAUCCGGUGGUUCUGAAUGGAAGGGCCAUCGCUCAACGGAUAAAAGGUACUCCGGGGAUAACAGGCUGAUACCGCCCAAGAGUUCAUAUCGACGGCGGUGUUUGGCACCUCGAUGUCGGCUCAUCACAUCCUGGGGCUGAAGUAGGUCCCAAGGGUAUGGCUGUUCGCCAUUUAAAGUGGUACGCGAGCUGGGUUUAGAACGUCGUGAGACAGUUCGGUCCCUAUCUGCCGUGGGCGCUGGAGAACUGAGGGGGGCUGCUCCUAGUACGAGAGGACCGGAGUGGACGCAUCACUGGUGUUCGGGUUGUCAUGCCAAUGGCACUGCCCGGUAGCUAAAUGCGGAAGAGAUAAGUGCUGAAAGCAUCUAAGCACGAAACUUGCCCCGAGAUGAGUUCUCCCUGACUCCUUGAGAGUCCUGAAGGAACGUUGAAGACGACGACGUUGAUAGGCCGGGUGUGUAAGCGCAGCGAUGCGUUGAGCUAACCGGUACUAAUGAACCGUGAGGCUUAACCUU
RNAcentral lists this ribosomal RNA (1343 nucleotides) under Escherichia coli. Its description in RNAcentral is "partial 23S ribosomal RNA". It matches the Rfam family "Bacterial large subunit ribosomal RNA", at positions 1606 to 2925 of the family's 2925-position model. The record is from RNAcentral. Lineage: Bacteria; Pseudomonadati; Pseudomonadota; Gammaproteobacteria; Enterobacterales; Enterobacteriaceae.